UCUUUAAAUAAAUGGUAACCUCAGCUUCAUCCUCAAUGGCUCAUGAUAUUGUAGUAUCUCUUCAUCUAAUUUAUACAUUACAAGUAAACUGAAUGUGUCAAGACAAUGCACAAAAAAGGUGCAACAUAACUACAUAAGGCCCAACCAUGUUUCCUCUAUAGCAUCUAAUAGUUCAGUACAAUCUACUAUUGCCAGUUCUUAAAUAUUAUUACAACCUACAACUCUUAAUACAUGACAAGCCCAUUUCUUUAUAAACUACUACUGCCUGUUCUUAAAUAUGACAAGCUACAGCUACUACUAUGAGUUGUUAAUAUAUAACACCGCUGAUCAGGAAUCCUAUCUUAUGGUAUUUAUUGCCAAGUUUGUAAGCAUCAUCUUAUCCUUUAUAACCUUUUGCAGACUCACAGAGCUGCCAUGUUAGUUUAUUAACUUGCCACCAGUCUGAACUUUUGAGCUGCAGAAUGGAAUAUUGUAAUUCUGAUGGUGUCAUGCGGCUCAAUUAAGAAACAAUUCUGCGGAAACAUAUUGAUAAUCCACAUCCUGAUCUUGGUCAAAUAUGUUACAAACUUGAAAAUAGCCACAUCCUAAUUCUGCAUCCUUUCACCUUGUAGCAGUUUUGUUUUUUUGUUGUCAUACCUAGCUUAUUUUUGAGAAUGUGUACCACUCGUCAUAAGCAUUUCUAUAGCAUAUAUGCACAAGUAGAUUUUCUGGGAAUGCUCUUGCUAAUAAUUCUGGGACAUGAAAUCAAAAUGAACUCAAGUGUGUUGAUCAAAUGAUGUUGACAAAAAUAGCAGAACAUUGUUUCCUGUGGUGAUUGAUUCCUGUCGAGAAGGAAGCCCGCAACACAACACUUCACUGCAUAGGAACAAAUAUAUUCGUGUGUAUUCAUGGUCAUAUAACAAUGUUACUCUUGCAUGAACAAUCAAGUAUAAGCUAGCAUGUGCUGCUCUAGCCUAACAAUUUCAUAUGAGCUUUGAACAACUUUUGGAUUGAUUGCACUUUCGUGACAAAUUCAUAUGGAAUAUUUUCAGGUACUUAGCCACCUAGCAUUGGAUGUGAGGAGGACUUUGAGUGUCAUGGAACAUACAUGGCUGUUAGCAGUAUUUUGGACCAACCAACUUCAAUCAUUUCUUGAAUCUUAUGUGUGUUCUAGACCAUUUGGUGCUUCAAGUGUUUUGGAGUAGAAACUUUGUGCUCAUGUAUGUGAUUUGUGUGUUUUGGACCAUU
This 1227-nucleotide long non-coding RNA is filed under the name Triticum aestivum (bread wheat). Its description in RNAcentral is "long non-coding RNA (TAES_LNC027950)". The record is from RNAcentral. Lineage: Eukaryota; Viridiplantae; Streptophyta; Magnoliopsida; Poales; Poaceae.